This is a long non-coding RNA of Chelonia mydas (Green sea turtle), 2726 nucleotides long. RefSeq lists it as uncharacterized. The transcript has 2 exons. Lineage: Eukaryota; Metazoa; Chordata; Testudines; Cheloniidae. The record is from RefSeq and is a predicted model, not a curated record.
GAAAGCGUGCACAACCAGCAAUGAGCAACACUGGUAGCAGAGCAGGACACUUGGGAAAAAGGAACAAUAUUCUUUAGAGUGAAGCCUCUAGUGUUGAUUUCAAUACCUGGGAACUGACGGGGAAAAAACUGCCAUGGAUAGAGGUUGUAAAAAAGACUAACGUGGGAAUAUUUUCAAGGAAUUUCUGUAUUUCUAGGUAAAAAAGGAACACUUGUCAAAAUAAACAGUGCAAUAAAGAGAUGCAAGACCUGAUUGUCAGAAUGAAAUAAUAUGACAAAUAUUCUUCAGAAAGCAAUGACUUUGAAGAUGAUGUGGACAAGUCUGAACAAUCAGGAUCAACUGGUCCAGCUUAGACAUAACGGGUUAUGAACGUCCAUCAUCUGCAAUGUCUACAACUUCAGUCAUCUGCUGGUACACAGGCAGUGCUGCAACUAAGCAUACAUCAGAUAGUAAAUUAUCUGUAUUUAAACAAAAGAUUUUCUUCAAUCAUCCAAUAAAAACAUGGAUGAGUUCCUAAUCAAGACCAGCAAAUUCCAGAAAGACUCCAUAGAUGAAAGGAUUGCUCACAGUUUAUUCACACACUGAAUUCUCCCUUUUAUCCUGUUCAGGACAAACAUCUCAUAGGGUGCAAUCAUUACAACCAGGCUACUCUCCACCUAGCAGAGCAAACAUUGCUGGAAGAUUCCUGUACGAGAAAAAAAUUGAACAGUGUGCAAAAAAACAUUAAUGGGAAAUUCAUUAAGCUGAGUCUUGAGGGGUGAAGCAAUGUAUACAAUGUUCUAGUAGUGUGUUUGUAUGAAACAAAAGAUGGGGUUUUCUAUCUUGAAGAAAAAAAAUUAUACAUCAGGGAAUGGCCAUACAGCAUAAUAUUUAAAAGUAACAGCAGUAAAAGCUAUAAGAAACUGAACAAAAAAAUCAAGCCUUGCAUAUGUAGCUUUGUCACAGAUAAUGCUGCAAAAUGUAGCAAAGGCAAGAAAUCUUGAAGAAGGGAACCUGAAGCUUAUAACAUAUGGGUGCAGUGCUCAUCUGAUGCAUCUUUUAGCUAAAGACUUAAGUUCAACUCCAGGAAUAAAGGAAAAUGUUGUUGAAAUUGCAACAUUUUCUGUAACAACCACUUUGCUUCAGCUUCACUAAAGAGAGCAGGAUGAUCCCAACUAAUUCAUCUCCAAGAUGUAUUAUGGAAUUCAGUGACUGACUUGUUUUGAGCUAUUUAUUAAGAACUGGCCUAUUCAGAUGACAAUUUGUGAAGAAAAUCACGCCAAAACAGAUGGAACUAACACAGUCAAAGUAGUCAACACUGGACUAAAGAGAAAUGUAGAAGAUAAGCUGAAUAUACUGAAAACUAUUUCCAUAGCCUUGGACAAGCUGCAGAAAGAUUGCUACUGUACUGCUAAUGCUGUUGAAAUUUAGAAAUCACUUAAGAGACAUUAAAGAAAGAAAUACCCAAUACUUUACCUCAUUUUCUUGGCAAUAUUCUCAGCUCAACAUACUAGGGUAAAUGCCUCACUGCUGAAGAAGAUGCUACUAUUAAACGGGCAUCUAAUAAUCAAUCAUAAUAAAUUUCAGGGCUGGAAAUGAAACAUUCAAGCAGUAUAUGUUUGCUAAGAAAGUCACACCACUGAACUGGUGUACAUCACCAGUUAAGCAGCUGGGACCAGAGUUUAUUGAAGUGCUGAACCAGUUUUUUUUACAGUAGUAACCUCUUCUGCAGGCACACAGAAUAUUUUCUUCAUUUGAACUACUUCAUUCAAAGUUGAGAAAUCAACUGGGAGCUGAAAAAACAGGAAAAAUCAAUCCUUUUCUCUUCCAGUCUAUGAAUAAAAAUGAGGGGGGAGGACAUGAGAUCUAAAACUAGAUCUAGAACUUACAGUUCUAAAAGUUUGACGCACAGACUAAGUAACUUAGGAGACUCAUCUCAUUUUCAAGAGACUUAAGUGGUAGUGUAGACAUAGCCUAUGUCAGUAUAACUUAUGUCGCUCAGGGAUGUGAAAAAAACAAACCCCUGAGCAUCAUACGUCACACUGCCAUAAGCGCUGUUGUGGACAACGGUAUGUCGGUGGGAGAGCUUCUUCUGUCAACAUAAUUAAUCUACCCCCAAUGAGCAGCGGUAGUUAUGUAGACGGGAGAGCUCUCUCCCAUCAGCUUAGCAUGGCUACACUAGAGAUCUUACAGCUGCACUGCUGUAAGCUCUCUAGUGUAGACAUAGCCUUAGGCAUGUAGGAACUUAAGCGCCAAUCACUUUCACUUAGCCUAGAAAAAUUUUCAAAUACGCCUGACCUGCAUUAUCAUCUUAAUUCACUGACUAAAAUUAAUCCCUCUGUUCCUUUAAUAACUCAUUUAGCUGUAAAUGUGAAAAAUCGUUUGAUAAGAGCUUAUGUAUCCAAAACAUUUAAAGUUGCUUUAAUAAAAAUAGAUUUUUUAAAUUACAGUUACCAUACUAAUGAAGCUUGACACAAAUCAUGACUAAAAGUUAAUUAUCUAGUAAAUAAGCAAUACCAUUCACCAUUUUCUAACAUACUAAAAAUGUACAAUAAGAAUCUGAAAAUAUUAACCUAUGUAAUUGCUUAAUUAAAUGUGUAUAGUUAUAGUGUACCUUCCUAAGUAGCAAAAAGAUGCACCAAAUCUAGUGUAAAGGCUCUAUUUCACUGUAAAUCAACUUGUUUUAAUUGCUAUAGGAACCAGUGACAAUGGACCGUUCUUUAGAAAAUAAAAGUGCAAAUGGAAAA